GAGACAGUGCUGCAUGGCUGUCGUCAGCUCGUGUUGUGAAAUGUUGGGUUAAGUCCCGCAACGAGCGCAACCCUUAUCCUUUGUUGCCAGCGGUCCGGCCGGGAACUCAAGGAGACUGCCAGUGAUAAACUGGAGGAAGGUGGGAUGACGUCAAGUCAUCAUGGCCCUUACGACCAGGGCUACACACGUGCUACAAUGGCGCAUACAAAGAGAAGCGACCUCGCGAGAGCAAGCGGACCUCAUAAAGUGCGUCGUAGUCCGGAUUGGAGUCUGCAACUCGACUCCAUGAAGUCGGAAUCGCUAGUAAUCGUGGAUCAGAAUGCCACGGUGAAUACGUUCCCGGGCCUU
Molecule: ribosomal RNA, 348 nt
Filed under: uncultured Enterobacteriaceae bacterium
Lineage: Bacteria; Pseudomonadati; Pseudomonadota; Gammaproteobacteria; Enterobacterales; Enterobacteriaceae
Description: bacterial SSU rRNA
Rfam family: Bacterial small subunit ribosomal RNA
Source: RNAcentral